RNAcentral lists this ribosomal RNA (533 nucleotides) under Mesonia sp. RNAcentral's name for it is "bacterial SSU rRNA". It matches the Rfam family "Bacterial small subunit ribosomal RNA", at positions 376 to 907 of the family's 1533-position model. The record is from RNAcentral. Lineage: Bacteria; Pseudomonadati; Bacteroidota; Flavobacteriia; Flavobacteriales; Flavobacteriaceae.
GAGCACUCUGAUCCAGCCAUGCCGCGUGCAGGAAGACUGCCCUAUGGGUUGUAAACUGCUUUUAUAGAGGAAGAAACCUCCCUACGUGUAGGGAGCUGACGGUACUCUACGAAUAAGGAUCGGCUAACUCCGUGCCAGCAGCCGCGGUAAUACGGAGGAUCCAAGCGUUAUCCGGAAUCAUUGGGUUUAAAGGGUCCGUAGGCGGGCAGUUAAGUCAGUGGUGAAAGUCUUCCGCUCAACGGGAGAAUUGCCAUUGAUACUGAUUGUCUUGAGUCAUUAUGAAGUGGUUAGAAUGAGUAGUGUAGCGGUGAAAUGCAUAGAUAUUACUCAGAAUACCGAUUGCGAAGGCAGAUCACUAAUAAUGUACUGACGCUGAUGGACGAAAGCGUAGGUAGCGAACAGGAUUAGAUACCCUGGUAGUCUACGCCGUAAACGAUGGUUACUAGCUGUUUGGACGAUUGAGUCUGAGUGGCUAAGCGAAAGUGAUAAGUAACCCACCUGGGGAGUACGUUCGCAAGAAUGAAACUCAAAUG